This 418-nucleotide ribosomal RNA is filed under the name uncultured bacterium. RNAcentral's name for it is "bacterial SSU rRNA". It matches the Rfam family "Bacterial small subunit ribosomal RNA", at positions 353 to 786 of the family's 1533-position model. The record is from RNAcentral.
UGAGGGGAUAUUGGGGCAAUGGGGGAAACCCUGACCCACGCGACGCCGCGUGAGGGAAGACGGUCUUCGGAUUGUAAACCUCUGUCUUUGGGGACGAAAAAGGACGGUACCCAAGGAGGAAGCUCCGGCUAACUACGUGCCAGCAGCCGCGGUAAUACGUAGGGAGCGAGCGUUGUCCGGAAUUACUGGGUGUAAAGGGAGCGUAGGCGGGAAGGCAAGUUGGAUGUGAAAACUGUGGGCUCAACCGACAGACUGCAUUCAAAACUGUUUUUCUUGAGUGAAGUAGAGGCAAGCGGAAUUCCUAGUGUAGCGGUGAAAUGCGUAGAUAUUAGGAGGAACACCAGUGGCGAAGGCGGCUUGCUGGGCUUUUACUGACGCUGAGGCUCGAAAGUGUGGGGAGCAAACAGGAUUAGAUACC